Molecule: ribosomal RNA, 460 nt
Filed under: uncultured bacterium
Lineage: Bacteria
Description: partial 16S ribosomal RNA
Rfam family: Bacterial small subunit ribosomal RNA
Source: RNAcentral
CCUACGGGCGGCAGCAGUGAGGAAUAUUGGUCAAUGGGCGGAAGCCUGAACCAGCCAAGUAGCGUGCAGGAUGACGGCCCUACGGGUUGUAAACUGCUUUUAUACGGGAAUAACGCGCCUUACGUGUAGGGCUUUGCAUGUACCGUAUGAAUAAGGACCGGCUAAUUCCGUGCCAGCAGCCGCGGUAAUACGGAAGGUCCGGGCGUUAUCCGGAUUUAUUGGGUUUAAAGGGUGCGGAGGCCGUGUGUCAAGUGUGCGGUGAAAGGUCCGGGCCCAACCCGGGCCUUGCAGCGCGAACUGGCGGGCUUGAGACCGCGGAAAGCAGGCGGAAUUCGUCGUGUAGCGGUGAAAUGCUUAGAUAUGACGAAGAACCCCGAUUGCGAAGGCAGCUUGCUGCAGCGGAACUGACGCUGAUGCUCGAAAGCGCGGGUAUCGAACAGGAUUAGAUACCCCUGUAGUC